CCCUAGUAACGGCGAGUGAAGCGGCAAGAGCUCAAAUUUGAAAUCUGGCCCUCUCAGGGUCCGAGUUGUAAUUUGUAGAGGGCGCUUUGGCGUUGGCCCCGGCCUAAGUUCCUUGGAACAGGACGUCACAGAGGGUGAGAACCCCGUACGUGGCCGCCGGCCUCCGCCGUGUAAAGCCCCUUCGACGAGUCGAGUUGUUUGGGAAUGCAGCUCUAAAUGGGAGGUAAAUUUCUUCUAAAGCUAAAUACUGGCCAGAGACCGAUAGCGCACAAGUAGAGUGAUCGAAAGAUGAAAAGCACUUUGGAAAGAGAGUCAAAAAGCACGUGAAAUUGUUGAAAGGGAAGCGCUUGCAGCCAGACUUGCCUGUAGUUGCUCAUCCGAGCUCCCGCUCGGUGCACUCUUCUGCGGGCAGGCCAGCAUCAGUCCGGGCGGUCGGAUAAAGGCCUCGGGAAUGUAGCUCCCCUCGGGGAGUGUUAUAGCCCGGGGUGCCAUGCGACCAGCCUGGACUGAGGUCCGCGCAUCUGCUAGGAUGCUGGCGUAAUGGCUGUAAGCGGCCCGUCUUGAAACACGGACCAAGGAGUCUAACAUCUAUGCGAGUGUUUGGGUGUCAAGCCCGGGCGCGCAAUGAAAGUGAACGGAGGUGGGAACCCCUCGGGGCGCACCAUCGACCGAUCCUGAUGUCUUCGGAUGGAUUUGAGUAAGAGCAUAGCUGUUGGGACCCGAAAGAUGGUGAACUAUGCCUGAAUAGGGUGAAGCCAGAGGAAACUCUGGUGGAGGCUCGCAGCGGUUCUGACGUGCAAAUCGAUCGUCAAAUUUGGGCAUAGGGGCGAAAGACUAAUCGAACUAUCUA
RNAcentral lists this ribosomal RNA (850 nucleotides) under Lophiotrema mucilaginosis. Its description in RNAcentral is "partial large subunit ribosomal RNA". It matches the Rfam family "Eukaryotic large subunit ribosomal RNA", at positions 78 to 946 of the family's 3401-position model. The record is from RNAcentral. Lineage: Eukaryota; Fungi; Ascomycota; Dothideomycetes; Pleosporales; Lophiotremataceae.